GGAGGCGGAGCUUGCAGUGAUGCACUCCAGCCUGGGUGACAGAACGAGACUCCGUCUCAAAAAAUAAUAAUAAUAAAAUAAAAUAAUAAUAAUAAUAAUUAGUGGGUGAGGCCGAUGAUUCUGUCCUUCAAAUAUGUGAAGAUUAAAUUAAGGUCAUCUGGGACACAGCAGCAGUGAUGGAGAAGAGAAUGGGGGCUGGACGAUAGAGGACCAGACCUGGAGGGUCUCGUGGAGAAGGGGUCCUCGAAGAGAUAAUGGAGCACCAUGGGUGGCCAGGAAGCUAUGCCAGUCUAUCCCACGUGGACACCCUUUGCCUUCACUUUUAUGUACUUUGAUAUAACAGCCGCAUUGGCCGGGGCGGGGCACUACCAAAAGGCAGGACUCAGCCUGGGGUCCUGCUUCCCAGCCCCCAGGUAGCUCUCUGUAGAGGGUCCUUCCCUGCAGGCAAUGAGCUCCCCGUUUGUAGCGGCUGUGCAUGGGUUAAUUGAUGUCUUCAUUGGAAUGGUGAGGCUGGGUCUGCAGAAGAGGAAAGAAAAGAGUAUGUUAAUUAAAACUGUCAACUAAAGAAAAACUCAGGCUUUUAAAGAAUUAGUUUUAUUCACAAAUCUUACCUAGAAUGGCAACCCGUGAGCGACUUUGAGAGAGUUUCUGUUAGACUGCUCCAGCCCGUAGUUUGCGUGCGGGUGCUGGUGGGUCUGCCCUGCAGAGAGUUGCGUUAGCAACCAUCCCUCCCUCCAGCGCUCGCCUCCGGGUCCCUAAGGAAAACGUUCCCCUGGUCAGGACGCUGGAGCGCGCAUGGGCCUCGCAGCCAUUGACGACUGGACGCGAGCUGCGGUACAAACCCCGACGCGGAGACGUUGGCGACAGUGGCCGCUGGGGGAGCUGCUGAGUGCCGCCCAGCACUGGGCUCCCUUUCCCUUCACUCUCGGCAGUUUCUUGCCUCCGUGGGUGGUUGGCGCGUCUGCGGAGCCAGAGUCGUUGUGUGGAUCGUGGGACUGCAGCCCCAGCCAAAGGGCUGUCACGUCUGGUCGGUUCCGUCACCCACGGUUCCGGUUUCCAGUCGUUAAGGGUCCAGCAGUCUGUUAAGUAGCUCCCUGUCCCUUCUGGAAGCUUGGCCAGGGAAGGUCAUUCCACCUUUGAGUUCCAGAUGAAAUCUCGCUCUGUCAUCCAGGCUGGAGUGCAGUCGCACUAUCUCAACUCAUUGUAACCUCUGCACUUGUUCCCUAAAAUCACUGUUAUUCUGUUCUUUUUUAAGGUGCACUGAUUUCAUAUUGUUCAAAUGCACAUUUACAAUCAGAUUUCAUAUUGUUCAAACACACAUGUUUUACAAUCAAUUUGUUAGUUAAUGCAAUCAUCACAGGGUCCUGAGGUGACGUACAUUCUCAGCUUAUGAAGAUAACAGGAUUGAGAUUAAAAUAAAGACAGGCAUAAGAAAUUAUAAGAGUAUUAUUUGGGAACUGAUAAAUGUUCA
RNAcentral lists this long non-coding RNA (1471 nucleotides) under Homo sapiens (human). RNAcentral's name for it is "HSALNT0229554". The record is from RNAcentral. Lineage: Eukaryota; Metazoa; Chordata; Mammalia; Primates; Hominidae.